CUUAUUGGGCUCCUGUCUGCAGGAUUUACGCGCACGUUGGAACCGAAGAGAGCUCUGUUGUUGCAAUGUUCAGCCCACAAGAGCUUACUGGUGAAGGAAUGGGACAAGACCCAUCUUUAUGCAAAGCCAGCGUUACAGUAAUGUUCCAGGUAGGUGUACAUGGUUUAUGCUCUUACAGAGGAGACCUUGUAGAUAACCACUCCAUGAUGAACACAAAAUGACAAGCAUAUGGCUGAACUUUCAAGUGAUGUCAUCUUACUACUGAGAAGUGAGAGAGAGGUCUUAAGGGGUCUUUGAAUGACUAUUUUUAGGUACAUAAAAUGCUUUCCUCUGUUGUCUACAGCAUCUCAUAAUCUAUCCUGGGGAAUUCAGCUGCCUCCCAGGGUGAAUACAGGUAUUCCUGAUGACAGUCUGCCUCUAUCUUACAGUAAGUUGUUUUUCGAAUUCUAUGGGCCUAUUAUCUAAUAGAUAACUUAGCCAUUUUGAUAUUUGUUACCAAAGCCUGCUUAACCCAUAAAGUUUUCUGGUUCCUCUUGUUCUCUGUAGUGAUGUUUCUAGAUAGAUGCCCACUGAUAUAUGCCCCUUUUUUCUCAGAUAGAUGCCCACUGAUCUGCCCAGGGUCAGACGAAUGCUUGUCAGUUGUAGCUUUCCAGGAUUCUGCUCCAAUGAGGAGGAAACAUCCUGCCUUACCCCUGUUUUAGCCUGGGAACCAGUAAUUGUGAACUCACCAGGGUUAACAUGAAGAGGGCAUGAGAGCUUAUUCCAUAAGGAAUUGUCUGAGACAUUUGGUUACCUUUUCUUAGUUUGUCCAUUAGCAACCGUAACUAAAAUAGUUUUGGCUGUUUGGGAUAAUUAGCUAAUUGAAUGAUUUUUUGAUUCAGGAGCAGCUUGUUGCUAUAUACCAUUGAAAAGCCUUCAGAGCUGAGAGGUUAGUUGAUAUUUUUUGUUCCUUACAGCUUAUGCCACCAAGUAGGCAGUUUCUAUGAUGAAUCAAACUAGCUCACUAUGACCGACAGUGAAAAUACAUGAACACCUGAGAAACUGGAGAACGCAGGGAGUGGGGGGUAACCAUGUCUGAGGAAUCUUUCACCCACAGCUUUGUUUUUCUCUAGGUACUACUAACCAAUAACCUGCUUGGCUCAAAGGUGAGUAAUUUCACGGUAUUCAAUGCACUCAGUAUAUAGGGUAGGAAAAAGUGCCUUUUUAGGCCUGUGUUUGUGAUGACUUACAUGGAAUCUCGUUCGGCUGAUGACUUGCUGUUGAGACUCUGAAAUCUGAUUUUCUGAGAAUGAUGGGUGGGAACAACAUAAUGCGGGAUAUGAGAAGCACUACUGACUUGGUCUUCCUCCUUUCAGGGCCAGCACCUUCUCUCUAAAGCCCAAGAGGAGUUUGAGGUAAAUGGCUUUGCAAUAGUUACCAUCAAUGGCUGCUAUAUAAAAUUUUCUGUGAUUUUUGUGUGUGAUAGCACUGUGGUCUGGGUGAAUGUACACAGACAUAACUGGCUUAACCCAAAGUCUUUGAUCUCCUGAACCACCAGUGAUGAAUUGCUGCUCACCAGUGAUGAGUUGAAUACCGCCCCAGUCUGAUCAAUGUGUGACUGAAAGGUAUUUUCUGAGCUGUGAGCCUGCCUUCCAGUGACAUGUUCUAAAAAUUGCAAGUUAUUUGAGGAGGCUUUACAGCCAAUAGGAAGUUCUUGGGCUAAGUAGUGUUUCCUAUAAAAUGUGCCCUGAAACUUCUUUCUGCCAAGCAAUAGAUACAAUUGAGAGAUUGUAAAAUGUGACAUAGAAUGAAAGUCUCUCAAGACUACAUUUUUCUUUCUUGAUUUUGCAGGAAAACUAGGUGUCUGUGUUCACUCCAGGCUGAAGUUACAGGUGAGUAAACCUAAAUGUAAGGUGGACUAUGCUAAAAAUUCCCAAUGAAGAAACUUUCACAUGUCUUACUCUCUGUCCUAGUCCCAGAGCCUGUAAAGGUGAACCCACUGGGACUGGCUGGGGGAGAAGAGGAAGAUUUGUUCCAGAAGGAACUGUCUGAGGGAUGAUAAAGAUUUCUAUACAGAGAAAGGGAGUAAUCAUCACUUGUUGAAAACAUUGGUUUUAUUUUUUCCAGGUCUGAGCAAAUAAGGUGUAUAAAAAAUGGACAUCAGAAGGUGAAUUUUCCAAGUUCUUGGACAACCUAGCUGUUGAAAAGCUUUCUGGGUUUGGGGGGUAUUUCAGAUGUACCUUAAAGUGUUAGCAGACACAGAUUAAGACACUGGGAGCCAAUGAAACAGCAGUUGAGGGUUUGCUGUGUAUCACAUUUCUGUAUUUUAUCACCCCCUUCCUGCAACAUUAUUUAUCUGGAAUCUACCUGCCCUUUUGUUUUUUAGAUACAAGGGCUUGGUUUUGUUACCCAGGCUGGUUUCAAGGCCAUAGCUUUAAGAGAUCCUCUCACCACAGAUUUCCAAAGUGCUGGGAUUGCAGGUGUGAUUCAUGGCACCCAGACUUUGCUGCCUUUCUUACAUGAUCCAGGCCCAGAACCCAAACUCAGGCACUGUAUAGAUGACCACUUUCGUAAACUACUGACCUAGCUUGUUGCCAAUUGUUGAUUGAACUUCCCAUAACUCCACUUCGUGUCUGUUCCUCUGUAUACAGCCACCUUCUGUUCCCGUCAUGAGCCUUUAGGUCUCCAUUUGCAUAUUGCAAAUACUAUGUUCCAUGUAGGUAGCUCAUUCAGGGCCUUGCUCUUCACUUCAAAAAAGGUUCCCUUGAGGACUGGCUGUCAAUUUGUGUUGCU
Homo sapiens (human) is the source of this 2772-nucleotide long non-coding RNA. Ensembl annotates it as small nucleolar RNA host gene 1. Its record names the gene SNHG1. NCBI's taxonomy places the organism in Eukaryota, Metazoa, Chordata, Mammalia, Primates, Hominidae. The record is from Ensembl.